RNAcentral lists this ribosomal RNA (906 nucleotides) under Phaeocytostroma sacchari. RNAcentral's name for it is "eukaryotic LSU rRNA". It matches the Rfam family "Eukaryotic large subunit ribosomal RNA", at positions 24 to 962 of the family's 3401-position model. Lineage: Eukaryota; Fungi; Ascomycota; Sordariomycetes; Diaporthales; Diaporthaceae. The record is from RNAcentral.
CCCGCUGAACUUAAGCAUAUCAAUAAGCGGAGGAAAAGAAACCAACAGGGAUUGCCUCAGUAACGGCGAGUGAAGCGGCAACAGCUCAAAUUUGAAAUCUGGCCUCGGCCCGAGUUGUAAUUUGCAGAGGAUGCUUCUGGCGCGGUGCCUUCCGAGUUCCCUGGAACGGGACGCCACAGAGGGUGAGAGCCCCGUAUGGUCGGACACCAAGCCUGUGUGAAGCUCCUUCGACGAGUCGAGUAGUUUGGGAAUGCUGCUCUAAAUGGGAGGUAAAUCUCUUCUAAAGCUAAAUACCGGCCAGAGACCGAUAGCGCACAAGUAGAGUGAUCGAAAGAUGAAAAGCACCUUGAAAAGGGGGUUAAAUAGUACGUGAAAUUGUUGAAAGGGAAGCACUUGUGACCAGACUUGGGCCGGGCGGCUCAUCAGGGGUUCUCCCCUGUGCACUCCGCCCGGCACAGGCCAGCAUCGGUUUUCGCGGUGGGAUAAGACCGCCGGGAACGUGGCACCCUCCGGGGUGUGUUAUAGCCCGGCGGACGAUACCUCCGUGGGGACCGAGGUCCGCGCUCUGCAAGGAUGCUGGCGUAAUGGUUACCAGUGACCCGUCUUGAAACACGGACCAAGGAGUCGUCCAUUAGAGCGAGCGUUUGGGUGUAAAACCCGCACGCGUAAUGAAAGUGAACGCAGGUGAGAGCUUCGGCGCAUCAUCGACCGAUCCCGAUGUUCUCGGAGGGAUUUGAGUAAGAGUUUUAACGGACGGACCCGAAAGACAGUGAACUAUGCUUGUAUAGGGUGAAGCCAGAGGAAACUCUGGUGGAGGCUCGCAGCGGUUCUGACGUGCAAAUCGAUCGUCAAAUAUGAGCAUGGGGGCGAAAGACUAAUCGAACUGUCUAGUAGCUGGUUACCGCC